Molecule: ribosomal RNA, 305 nt
Filed under: uncultured bacterium
Lineage: Bacteria
Description: bacterial SSU rRNA
Rfam family: Bacterial small subunit ribosomal RNA
Source: RNAcentral
GACGAACGCUGGCGGCGUGCCUAACACAUGCAAGUCGAACGGAGUAAUGAUUUCGGUUAUUACUUAGUGGCGAACGGGUGAGUAACGCGUGAGAAACCUGCCUUUCAGUGGGGGACAACAGUUGGAAACGACUGCUAAUACCGCAUAAUGUUAUUUGGGGGCAUCCUUGAAUAACCAAAGAUUUAUUGCUGAAAGAUGGUCUCGCGUCUGAUUAGCUGGUUGGCGGGGUAACGGCCCACCAAGGCGACGAUCAGUAGCCGGACUGAGAGGUUGACCGGCCACAUUGGGACUGAGACACGGCCCAG